GACGAACGCUGGCGGCGUGCCUAAUACAUGCAAGUCGAGCGGACUGAUUAAGAGCUUGCUCUUAUGACGUUAGCGGCGGACGGGUGAGUAACACGUGGGCAACCUGCCCUGUAGAUCGGGAUAAAACCGAGAAAUCGGUGCUAAUACCGGGUAAUAUCUGAGAUCACAUGAUCUUAGGUUAAAAGAUGGCUCCGGCUAUCACUACAGGAUGGGCCCGCGGCGCAUUGGCUAGUUGGUAAGGUAAUGGCUUACCAAGGCGACGAUGCGUAGCCGACCUGAGAGGGUGAUCGGCCACACUGGGACUGAGACACGGCCCAGACUCCUACGGGAGGCAGCAGUAGGGAAUCUUCCGCAAUGGACGAAAGUCUGACGGAGCAACGCCGCGUGAGUGAUGAAGGGUUUCGGCUCGUAAAGCUCUGUUGUUAGGGAAGAAACAGUACCGAACGAACUAGGUCGGUACCUUGACGGUACCUAACCAGAAAGCCACGGCUAACUACGUG
RNAcentral lists this ribosomal RNA (500 nucleotides) under uncultured bacterium. RNAcentral describes it as "partial 16S ribosomal RNA". It matches the Rfam family "Bacterial small subunit ribosomal RNA", at positions 28 to 507 of the family's 1533-position model. The record is from RNAcentral.